UGGGGAAUUUUGGACAAUGGGCGAAAGCCUGAUCCAGCAAUGCCGCGUGUGUGAAGAAGGCCUUCGGGUUGUAAAGCACUUUUGUCCGGAAAGAAAUCCUUGGCUCUAAUACAGUCGGGGGAUGACGGUACCGGAAGAAUAAGCACCGGCUAACUACGUGCCAGCAGCCGCGGUAAUACGUAGGGUGCAAGCGUUAAUCGGAAUUACUGGGCGUAAAGCGUGCGCAGGCGGUUUGCUAAGACCGAUGUGAAAUCCCCGGGCUCAACCUGGGAACUGCAUUGGUGACUGGCAGGCUAGAGUAUGGCAGAGGGGGGUAGAAUUCCACGUGUAGCAGUGAAAUGCGUAGAGAUGUGGAGGAAUACCGAUGGCGAAGGCAGCCCCCUGGGCCAAUACUGACGCUCAUGCACGAAAGCGUGGGGAGCAAACAGGAUUAGAUACCCUGGUAGCCCACGCCCUAAACGAUGUCAACUAGUUGUUGGGGAUUCAUUUCCUUAGUAACGUAGCUAACGCGUGAAGUUGACCGCCUGGGGAGUACGGUCGCAAGAUUAAAACUUAAGGAAUUGACGGGGUCAUAGCUGUUUCCU
Molecule: ribosomal RNA, 584 nt
Filed under: uncultured bacterium
Lineage: Bacteria
Description: partial 16S ribosomal RNA
Rfam family: Bacterial small subunit ribosomal RNA
Source: RNAcentral